RNAcentral lists this ribosomal RNA (425 nucleotides) under uncultured bacterium. RNAcentral's name for it is "bacterial SSU rRNA". It matches the Rfam family "Bacterial small subunit ribosomal RNA", at positions 8 to 436 of the family's 1533-position model. The record is from RNAcentral.
AGAGUUUGAUCCUGGCUCAGGACGAACGCUGGCGGCGUGCUUAACACAUGCAAGUCGAGCGGAAAGGCCCUUCGGGGUACUCGAGCGGCGAACGGGUGAGUAACACGUGAGCAACCUGCCCCUGGCUCUGGGAUAGCCUCCGGAAACGGGGAUUAAUACCGGACAUUCACUCUCUUGGGCAUCUUCGAGAGUGGAAAGUUUUUUCGGCCGGGGAGGGGCUCGCGGCCUAUCAGCUUGUUGGCGGGGUAACGGCCCACCAAGGCGACGACGGGUAGCCGGCCUGAGAGGGCGACCGGCCACACUGGGACUGAGACACGGCCCAGACUCCUACGGGAGGCAGCAGUGGGGAAUAUUGCGCAAUGGGCGGAAGCCUGACGCAGCGACGCCGCGUGGGGGAUGAAGGCCUUCGGGUUGCAAACCCCUUC